Jaculus jaculus (lesser Egyptian jerboa) is the source of this 147-nucleotide small nuclear RNA. Its record names the gene U12. It matches the Rfam family "U12 minor spliceosomal RNA". Rfam says of the family: Although the U12 sequence is very divergent from that of U2, the two are functionally analogous. The record is from Ensembl. NCBI's taxonomy places the organism in Eukaryota, Metazoa, Chordata, Mammalia, Rodentia, Dipodidae.
AUGUAUUAAAUUUAAGAGUAAGGACAAUAAUAAUGUGGCGUGACACUGGACUCACUACUAAUGUGAGAUGAAUUUUUGAUCAGGUAAAGGUUGCUCCUAAGGUGAGUCACCUAUUUUGAGGGAUGACUGGGCAUAGUUAUCUACUCA